RNAcentral lists this ribosomal RNA (1346 nucleotides) under uncultured bacterium. RNAcentral describes it as "bacterial SSU rRNA". It matches the Rfam family "Bacterial small subunit ribosomal RNA", at positions 28 to 1381 of the family's 1533-position model. The record is from RNAcentral.
GACGAACGCUGGCGGCGUGCUUAACACAUGCAAGUCGAACGGAAAGGCCCUGCUUUUGUGGGGUGCUCGAGUGGCGAACGGGUGAGUAACACGUGAGUAACCUGCCCUUGACUUUGGGAUAACUUCAGGAAACUGGGGCUAAUACCGGAUAGGAGCUCCUGCUGCAUGGUGGGGGUUGGAAAGUUUCGGCGGUUGGGGAUGGACUCGCGGCUUAUCAGCUUGUUGGUGGGGUAGUGGCUUACCAAGGCUUUGACGGGUAGCCGGCCUGAGAGGGUGACCGGCCACAUUGGGACUGAGAUACGGCCCAGACUCCUACGGGAGGCAGCAGUGGGGAAUAUUGCACAAUGGGCGGAAGCCUGAUGCAGCAACGCCGCGUGCGGGAUGACGGCCUUCGGGUUGUAAACCGCUUUCGCCUGUGACGAAGCGUGAGUGACGGUAAUGGGUAAAGAAGCACCGGCUAACUACGUGCCAGCAGCCGCGGUGAUACGUAGGGUGCGAGCGUUGUCCGGAUUUAUUGGGCGUAAAGGGCUCGUAGGUGGUUGAUCGCGUCGGAAGUGUAAUCUUGGGGCUUAACCCUGAGCGUGCUUUCGAUACGGGUUGACUUGAGGAAGGUAGGGGAGAAUGGAAUUCCUGGUGGAGCGGUGGAAUGCGCAAAUAUCAGGAGGAACACCAGUGGCGAAGGCGGUUCUCUGGGCCUUUCCUGACGCUGAGGAGCGAAAGCGUGGGGAGCGAACAGGCUUAGAUACCCUGGUAGUCCACGCUGUAAACGGUGGGUACUAGGUGUGGGGUCCAUUCCACGGGUUCCGUGCCGUAGCUAACGCUUUAAGUACCCCGCCUGGGGAGUACGGCCGCAAGGCUAAAACUCAAAGGAAUUGACGGGGCCCCGCACAAGCGGCGGAGCAUGCGGAUUAAUUCGAUGCAACGCGUAGAACCUUACCUGGGUUUGACAUGGAUCGGGAGCGCUCAGAGAUGGGUGUGCCUCUUUUGGGGUCGGUUCACAGGUGGUGCAUGGCUGUCGUCAGCUCGUGUCGUGAGAUGUUGGGUUAAGUCCCGCAACGAGCGCAACCCUUGUUCACUGUUGCCAGCACGUUAUGGUGGGGACUCAGUGGAGACCGCCGGGGUCAACUCGGAGGAAGGUGGGGAUGACGUCAAGUCAUCAUGCCCCUUAUGUCCAGGGCUUCACGCAUGCUACAAUGGCUGGUACAGAGAGUGGCGAGCCUGUGAGGGUGAGCGAAUCUCGGAAAGCCGGUCUCAGUUCGGAUUGGGGUCUGCAACUCGACCUCAUGAAGUCGGAGUCGCUAGUAAUCGCAGAUCAGCAACGCUGCGGUGAAUACGUUCCCGGGGCU